This 481-nucleotide ribosomal RNA is filed under the name uncultured bacterium. RNAcentral describes it as "partial 16S ribosomal RNA". It matches the Rfam family "Bacterial small subunit ribosomal RNA", at positions 28 to 523 of the family's 1533-position model. The record is from RNAcentral.
GACGGACGCUGGCGGCGUGCUUAACACAUGCAAGUUGAGCGAUGAAGUUUUUUCGGAAAUGGAUUAGCGGCGAACGGGUGAGGAACACGUGAAGAAUCUGCCCUCCACUUUGGGAUAACACAGGGAAACCUGUGCUAAUACCGAAUAUUGAAACAUAAGUGGCAUCACUGAGUUUUGAAAGAAUUUCGGUGGAGGAUGACUUCGCGGCCUAUCAGCUAGUUGGUGAGGUAAUGGCUCACCAAGGCAACGACGGGUAGCCGGCCUGAGAGGGCGACCGGCCACACUGGGACUGAGACACGGCCCAGACUCCUACGGGAGGCAGCAGUGGGGAAUAUUGGGCAAUGGAGGAAACUCUGACCCAGCGACGCCGCGUGCGGGAUGAAGGCCUUCGGGUUGUAAACCGCUUUCAGUAGGGAAGAAGCGAAAGUGACGGUACCUACAAAAGAAGCACCGGCUAACUAUGUGCCAGCAGCCGCCGUAA